GAUGAACGCUGGCGGCGUGCUUAACACAUGCCAGUCGAACGGAAAGGCUCCUGCUUGCAGGGGUACUCGAGUGGCGAACGGGUGAGUAACACGUGGGUGAUCUGCCCUGCACUUCGGGAUAAGCCUGGGAAACUGGGUCUAAUACCGGAUAGGACGAUGGUUUGGAUGCCAUUGUGGAAAGUUUUUCGGUGUGGGAUGAGCUCGCGGCCUAUCAGCUUGUUGGUGGGGUAAUGGCCUACCAAGGCGUCGACGGGUAGCCGGCCUGAGAGGGUGUACGGCCACAUUGGGACUGAGAUACGGCCCAGACUCCUACGGGAGGCAGCAGUGGGGAAUAUUGCACAAUGGGCGCAAGCCUGAUGCAGCGACGCCGCGUGGGGGAUGACGGCCUCCGGGUUGUAAACUCCUUUCGCUAGGGACGAAGCGCAAGUGACGGUACCUGGAGAAGAAGCACCGGCUAACUACGUG
RNAcentral lists this ribosomal RNA (465 nucleotides) under uncultured bacterium. RNAcentral describes it as "partial 16S ribosomal RNA". It matches the Rfam family "Bacterial small subunit ribosomal RNA", at positions 28 to 507 of the family's 1533-position model. The record is from RNAcentral.